GUCUUGGUUAGCUCAGUUGGUAGAGGGCUCCAUUGGAAAUAGAGAGGUCGAUUGUUCGAUACCAGUACCAAACG
Molecule: transfer RNA, 74 nt
Filed under: Ixodes scapularis (black-legged tick)
Lineage: Eukaryota; Metazoa; Arthropoda; Arachnida; Ixodida; Ixodidae
Description: tRNA-Ser for anticodon GGA
Source: RNAcentral